GACGAACGCUGGCGGCGUGCUUAACACAUGCAAGUCGAACGGAAAGGCCCCUUUGGGGGUACUCGAGUGGCGAACGGGUGAGUAACACGUGAGUAACCUGCCCUUGACUUCGGGAUAACUUCAGGAAACUGGGGCUAAUACCGGAUAGGAAUCCUUGCUGCAUGGUGGGGGUUGGAAAGCUUCGGCGGUUUUGGAUGGACUCGCGGCUUAUCAGCUUGUUGGUGGGGUAGUGGCUUACCAAGGCUUUGACGGGUAGCCGGCCUGAGAGGGCGACCGGCCACAUUGGGACUGAGAUACGGCCCAGACUCCUACGGGAGGCAGCGGUGGGGAAUAUUGCACAAUGGGCGGAAGCCUGAUGCAGCAACGCCGCGUGCAGGAUGACGGCCUUCGGGUUGUAAACCGCUUUCAGCAGGGGCGAAGCUUGUGGUGACGGUACCUGCAGAAGAAGCACCGGCUAACUACGUG
This 465-nucleotide ribosomal RNA is filed under the name uncultured bacterium. RNAcentral's name for it is "partial 16S ribosomal RNA". It matches the Rfam family "Bacterial small subunit ribosomal RNA", at positions 28 to 507 of the family's 1533-position model. The record is from RNAcentral.